UCAAAGACCAGGUAUACCCCACGUGGGGU
RNAcentral lists this small RNA (29 nucleotides) under Bombyx mori (domestic silkworm). RNAcentral's name for it is "ovarian small RNA-24437". Lineage: Eukaryota; Metazoa; Arthropoda; Insecta; Lepidoptera; Bombycidae. The record is from RNAcentral.